UGCUGAAUCAUUCGCCAAUGCGCGAAAGCGUGACGGUGCGACGCCGCGUGAAGGAUGAAGGCCCUCGGGUCGUAAACUUCUGUCAGGUCCUAGGAAACCGCAGUGGUUAAUAGCCGCUGCGCUGACCAGGUCCAAAGGAAGCACAGGCUAAUCUCGUGCCAGCAGCCGCGGUAAUACGAGGUGUGCGAGCGUUGUUCGGUGUUAUUGGGCGUAAAGGGUGUGUAGGCGGCCUGGUCAGUCAGAUGUGAAAUCCCCCGGCUUAACCGAGGAACUGCAUCUGAUACUGCCAGGCUUGAGUUCGGCAGGGGCAAGCGGAAUUCCAGGUGUAGCGGUGGAAUGCGUAGAUAUCUGGGAGAACGCCGAAGGCGAAGGCAGCUUGCUGGGCCGAAUCUGACGCUGGGACACGAAAGCUAGGGAGCAAACA
Molecule: ribosomal RNA, 424 nt
Filed under: uncultured bacterium
Lineage: Bacteria
Description: bacterial SSU rRNA
Rfam family: Bacterial small subunit ribosomal RNA
Source: RNAcentral